Molecule: unclassified non-coding RNA, 364 nt
Filed under: Hevea brasiliensis (rubber tree)
Lineage: Eukaryota; Viridiplantae; Streptophyta; Magnoliopsida; Malpighiales; Euphorbiaceae
Source: RNAcentral
GCAAAGCUGUCUGAGUUUGCUCCCAAGCCUUCCAUUUGAGCCUUAAUAGACUUUGUGAUAGUCAUGGAUAUCAGUUCAUAAUCCACAUACUUAAUUUUAAGUAUACAGUGCUGUUUGGGCUCCUACCUCAAGAGAUGUCAAAGUUGUAUCAGCAGGAAGGCAUUCAUGAGAAGUUUUGAGUAGCUCCAGAAAUUCAAGACUACAUGUUCGAGUUUUUACUAUAAGAGGUUCAACUUGCAGGACAAAAUAUACGUUACUACCCAACGGUUGCCAGGUUUCACACAGCUCCCUCAGUUCAUCAACAGAUUGAGCUAGUCCAGCAAAUGCUUUCUGAAGCAUCUCACUGGAAGCUGCUUCAACAUCG